GCCCCGCCCCUGGGCUCCGCCCCCCCACUCUCAGAAUUGGUCUUUGCUCUCAGACAAUUCCGCCCCUCCUGGAAAUUGGCAGGUCGGGAGAUAGAGUCCGGCCCUGCGGUAGGCGUCUUCUCUGGGCGGGUCUCGGGAACCCUGCGCGGCAUCUGCGGGCUCUGAGGAGGACCAGGAACGACUCACAGGCUGGAGUAUGGAGUGAUGGACAGAAAUUACAUAAUGUGGCAAGAGCAAGUCUUCGGUGAGACUGGAAGAAAACAUUCCAGCCAUCUGCCAAGAGCUUGUAGCUGGGAUGAGAUAUAUGCAUAGAUGGUGGAUUAUAAAAUGUUGGCGGCUACGUCUUUUCUGGAAGGUAUCGACUGACUCCAGAGUGGAAGCAAUCCUUCUCAGCGUGGUCUGAGGUUUGAGGAGGGUCACGAGGUGUCACAGAAGAUGGCAUGGAGAAGCCAGUGUGGACAGGGUGAGGAAAUACUUAAGGUAAAAAAGGAAAAUAUAGUGUGCUUGACAACGAUGGGGUUAUUCCUUUGGAAGAGGAACACCGCAGACUCAGAGCUGUGGAGUACUGGGACAGAAAACACCGAGCCAGCUAGGUCCACCAACGCCAUCCUCCUGCCUCCAAAGCGCACAGUCACCAUUGCCGGGAUCAUACUACUCACAAGGUACCAGUUAGGAGGAAUGUGUUGGGGACACAAUGGCUGGCUCCCUACGGCCAUGCACCUGGCGUCCUUCCUGGUGAUCACACCAGUCAAAGUAUGCUGGGCCUGGAGCCGAGUAGACAAAUAGUAAUCCCCUCUUUCUCUGCUUCCCCCCUGGUCCCGAGUACCUGCUGCAUCUCUGUCUUCCUCUGCACAAAGUGAUAAGGACCAGGACUUGAAAACUGGUUCUUCCUUGGUUCACCAGGAAUGAAUUGUUGAGUAAGACCUCUUGGGUCUAGAAUGAACUUAAAGGUGGCGAUCAUUUUCAAAUUCCAGGGGUCAUUUAAACCAUUUGAUUGGAUAUGAGAAAGACACAGACUUUGUAUCCCCUUGUCAGGGAUGGUAACCCAAACUGAGGCCUGUGCUUUCAGAGACUGUAGAUGACUGUGGUGGGCAUGUGCUCUAGCCUCUGAGAGGCCUGAUGGGGCCCAUCCUGCCAUUGCACUGGAGAGGAUGUGUUGGUCAAAUAGGUUGUGGGUCAGCUUUCUGGGUCACUGGGGUUUAUGCCAGGGAGGGCUAGAAUCCACCUCUCCCAGCUGCUUGCAUACAGCUCUUUCUGGCACUGCCCCAGUAGCCAGUAGCUACAAAUUUAACAGGACCAUGCAAUGAGGAAGGUGGACAUGCCUGUCCUAAUGAGGACAGGGCCAUCGCCCCUUCAUGGCAGCAUCCUUUCGUUCUGCUGGGUCUCUGUUUAAAGAUCUCACAACAAACCUGGCCCCCAGGAGGUCAUCUCAGAAGGCUCUGGCUGUGAAUGGGAUGCUCCUUGUAUCUUAGGAACUCAAAGAAUUGUUUCUAAAUAAAAUUAAUCCUAAUGAUACUCAUGUGUCUUCCUUUACUUAGCAAACUAGAUAAUGUUACUAAAGAUAGCCAUUGUAUUGCAUAAGUAAAAGAACAGGAAACUGGUCAGUUUCAGACCCUCUGUCCAGGUGCAGAAGAUACAGCAGGAGGAAGCACUCCUAGAGACAGCUAUGGGAAAGGAAUGAGGUUCCCACAGGUGACAUCACUAACGAGAUUGACAGCGAGAGGAAGGAGGAGCUGCAUGACAAUUAUGAAAAUAAGAUAUAGAUAACUCGAUAACUCUUUGUACCAAAUGAGGCAAAAAUUAAUGAAUGGGCAUAUUAAUACUUACAUGUUUUUGUUUUUUUUCUUUUCUUGCUCUUCCAGUAUGGCCUCCUGGAAGGAAAACACAGGCAGCGUUAGAAGCCUAGCCUCAACCAAUUAUAACCACUAGGAGUAAGGGGUGACCAGCGGCCAUUGAGGUAUGCUUGUCCCAGGAGACCUCAUGUCUGCAGCGGUGAUGGUAAAGUGGUCACCAUCCUUCUGAGAUCAAGUCAUGUUCCUGUCGCUUCUGCCUGUGGUAACUCCUCCCCAUGGGAUUCCCCAAGAAGGACUAAGUUCCUCCUGCACAGGACAUUCCUUAGAUAUUUGAAGGCAGAAGAUCCCCCCUCACUGACUUUUAGGCCAUUUCUCCAGUAAUAAGCAUUGGAUUUCUUCUUCAGCUACAUUUCAUGCUCUCACAUCUGUUCUGAAUUGCUUUUAAAGAGUAACACUAGUAAAAGAUUGGAAUUGUUCUGGUGGGGUCUUGAGGCCACCAGGAGCUGAGCUAGAGAGACUUCGGUCAUCUGAUGCAGGCUUGCAAGUCACUGUACAUCUCUUCAAGUUUUCUGGGUUUGCCUAUUUAUUUGCUAUGUAGUUUCUGAUCCCAAACACCUCUAUGGAUACUUUGCUGCUGGGACAGUGGGGGCGGGGCGACAAAUGGGUGAAAGUACAAAGGAGACCACAGAUAACAGCUGAGGUAAUGGGGGCCAGGCUCUCCCUAGGCUCGGAGGUCCUUUGUCAGCUCACAUCUCUCUCUGUCUCUGUCUCUCUUUCCCCCCAGCUCUACACAGAAGCAGAGGAUGUUAAUCUGGAAGGGGGCCUGGUAGCCUGGUGCUUUUCUGAGCCGAUGUAUGCAAAGAGGAAAAGCGAGUUGCCGCAGGGCUCUGGGCGAAGUCAGUGGAGCUCACAGUGGGCGCUGCAGGGCUCUUGCCUCAGGCCAGUUUGCUCUCUUUUAUAUGGUGACCUCCUCUCAAUGAUGGAUAGGAGGCAUCAAUGCUUCAUCACCUGGUCACAACCAAAGAGAGCUGGCUGCUUUCAACCACCGCCAGUCACCUAGAUGUCAUGGAUCGUAUCUUAUUAGUGCAGCUAUGGCAUUUUCUAAAAUCACACACUACACAUAAAUCCCUACGCUUGUCUCUCCAAACCCCUCACAGAGCCUCGCACAAAAGACUCAACGUACAAAAGCUUGCCAUGUCCUGCCUAGCCUUCCUGUGAUGUCAAUGAGGGCAGCAGAUUAUCGCACCUGCCUCUGCACGCCUUGCACCUCCUGGCACAACUCUUACCUCAGGAAUGACAACAAAAGCACCUGUCAUCAUCAUGAGCACUAUGUUAAUUCCGAACAACCACCUCAGGAAGAUGAAGUAGGAGGCCACGCCAGAUCCGAAGUGACCUAUGGGCAGACAACACGAGCGUGGCUCGGCUCAAGCCUCACAGAGCAGAAAGCCUGCCUCAGCAGGACUGCCUUCACCUCCACCAGCAGCACACACAGGAAGAGUGAUGUUGUAUCGAUGCCCCCCACCAGCUGGGUCAGCAUCCUGUGCCUGGUCUCCAGCUCUACGUACAAAAGACAAGCUCUAGUUCACCAGGACCGCUCUCUGAUAAAGUCCCUGGUGCUGUACUCAGCUAACAUGCCAAGAAAAGUUUACUAACUUAUGCAUGUUUUUGGAAAGUUAGAAACUUUCGAGACUUCCAUAUACUUCUGUCCUAUUUUGAAUCACUUUGCACAUUCCAAGGUUUCUCUAAGAUCCUUUGUCUUAAUUUCAACAUUAAAAAUAUCACGGUGUUAACAACUGAGGAAGCCAGAUAAAGGGUAUGUAGAAACUCUGUAACGUUCUGUAUACACACACUUUCUCUAAAUUUAAAGGUAAGAGAGCAUUUAACUCUGUUGAAAUAUCAAACAUGAUUUUUCUAACUUUCCAUCUAGCCUUUGAUUUUUUAUGUAUAUGAAGUCUAUUUUCUGAGGCUGGAGAGAAGGCUCAGCAGCUAAGAGCAUCAGCUGCUUUUCCAGAGGACUUGAGUGUGAUUCCCAGGAUCCACAUGGUGGCUCACAACCAUCUCCACUUCCAGACACCCUCUUCUGGCCUCUGUGAGCAAUGCACACACGUGGUGAACAGACACAUACAUGCAGGUAAUGCUCCCACACACUUGAAAAUAAACAAAUCUUUAAAAAGCAUUUUCCAAUAAGUAAAUUAAAAAGCAGUUUUCUGGAUAACUUCCCCCUUCACUUUUAUGAUUAAACAGGUCUCUAUGCUAAGGUCUCAUUUCUUAGGUUUUCUUCAAUGAUUUUCAUGAUUUCUGGCUGUGUAUUCAUACUAUUUAAUAGAAUAUUAAAAUCAAAGGACUAGAUUGACUCUUUGAAAUGGCUGAAUCAAUUGUCCCGGCAAUAUUUACAGAGUGAUUUCUAUUGACCCCAGUAACAGUUGGGUGUCGAAGGAGUGGUCUGCCUUCUUAUCUGUUUCUGAAAUGUUUGCCUGUUCCUUUGAAUGUCAGUCAGUCCCCACACUGUGCUGCUCUGUGCUGUUUGGUUUUUAACUUUUAUUAAUAUAUUUUAUUUAACCUUCUGUUCAUGUAAUUUCUUGGGAAUAUUUUCUUACUCCUAUCUCCCAAUCUAUCUCUUGGAUGUUUUCCUUCUUGCAUUUUAUGAUCAUGUGAUCAAGGACUCUAAGCAAUACACUGAGCAUAUUUGUGGAAUUGCAUUAAACUUGGGAACUGAUUUUUGGGAAAGUCUCCAACUUUGAAUAAAUGUCCCCCUGUCUCUUCAAAAGAACAUCAUCAUCUUGGCUCCAGCUUCAUGCUUUUCUUCACUUCGGGACAUUUUAAAGUUUGUUUAUCCUCUGUGCAUGUGGGCCAGGAGGA
Molecule: long non-coding RNA, 4652 nt
Organism: Peromyscus californicus insignis
Lineage: Eukaryota; Metazoa; Chordata; Mammalia; Rodentia; Cricetidae
Exons: 6
Source: RefSeq, a predicted model, not a curated record